ACUAACCUACGGGGGGCAGCAGUGGGGAAUAUUGCGCAAUGGACGAAAGUCUGACGCAGCGACGCCGCGUGAGGGAUGAAGGUUUUCGGAUCGUAAACCUCUGUCAGGAGGGAAGAAAGCGCAUGGCGCCAAUCAGCCAUGCGUUGACGGUACCUCCAAAGGAAGCGCCGGCUAACUACGUGCCAGCAGCCGCGGUAAUACGUAGGUGGCAAGCGUUGUCCGGAUUUACUGGGUGUAAAGGGCGUGCAGCCGGGCUGACAAGUCAGAUGUGAAAUCCCGCGGCUCAACCGCGGAACUGCAUUUGA
Molecule: ribosomal RNA, 305 nt
Filed under: uncultured bacterium
Lineage: Bacteria
Description: bacterial SSU rRNA
Rfam family: Bacterial small subunit ribosomal RNA
Source: RNAcentral